AAUUGUGUUAAGCAGCUGUCAGCUUUCUAAACCUGAACACUGAAGUAACUUUUCACAUUUUCGGCCCUGUCGCCAUUUUGUCUGAUGUUACAGUGUUAAGGAUCUACUGAGUUUGUAGUCAUUAGAUUCUCAGCAUGAAUUGCAGUCAAUAAUGUAUGCUUUGUUUUGUCUUUUCUAGUCUCCUGAUGAGGAGGCUUCAAUCAAUGGAGGACUGGAACUUGGCGUUGUACUAAUUGAAGAUGGAGAAGACAUGGUGGAACAUCAGUUGUUCUUGAAGAACAAAUCAUUUUGCAUGAUAUAAAGGACUUUCUCCGAGCCAUUGCUCUGCUGAUGGGUCUGCUGUCUGCACCCAACAUGGACUAUACCAAAGGUCUGAGCUACACUGAAGUCAUUCAAAGAUCUUCAUGGACAUUGAACUUAAUGAAAGUAACCUGUAAAGGAAGGAGCCUUUGCCCAACAUAUUAUUUUUUUCCCCUGAGCAUAAUGGGAGUAAGGUUGCAAUGGAUGCAAGAAAAGUCCUUCCUGAAAUGAUUUUUUUGUUUGGAAAAUAAAGGAAUUGUGGUUAAAA
This is a long non-coding RNA of Oryzias melastigma (Indian medaka), 568 nucleotides long. RefSeq lists it as uncharacterized. The transcript has 2 exons. The record is from RefSeq and is a predicted model, not a curated record. NCBI's taxonomy places the organism in Eukaryota, Metazoa, Chordata, Actinopteri, Beloniformes, Adrianichthyidae.